UCUUUCCUGUGGCUCAGUCAGAAGAGCAAUGCACUAGCAACGCAAAGAUCAUGGGUUCAAACCCCAAGGAAAGCA
This 75-nucleotide transfer RNA is filed under the name Danionella cerebrum. RNAcentral's name for it is "tRNA-Ala". It matches the Rfam family "tRNA". Rfam says of the family: Transfer RNA (tRNA) molecules are approximately 80 nucleotides in length. Their secondary structure includes four short double-helical elements and three loops (D, anti-codon, and T loops). Further hydrogen bonds mediate the characteristic L-shaped molecular structure. tRNAs have two regions of fundamental functional importance: the anti-codon, which is responsible for specific mRNA codon recognition, and the 3' end, to which the tRNAs corresponding amino acid is attached (by aminoacyl-tRNA synthetases). tRNAs cope with the degeneracy of the genetic code in two manners: having more than one tRNA (with a specific anti-codon) for a particular amino acid; and 'wobble' base-pairing, i.e. permitting non-standard base-pairing at the 3rd anti-codon position. Lineage: Eukaryota; Metazoa; Chordata; Actinopteri; Cypriniformes; Danionidae. The record is from RNAcentral.